AUAUAAAAAAUUAUACAUAUAUAUUUGUAAAUUUUAUUAUUUAAAAUAAGAAUAUUUUUAUUUAUUAUUAGUUAAGAAAAAUUUUUUUUUUGAUAGUUAAUUAGUACUGAGAAGGAAUUAUUAAAAUAAAGCAAGAAAAAUUUAUUUUUUGUACCUUGUGUAUCAGGGUUGAUUCAUAAAAAUUCUGGAUUGGAAUUUCCCGAAUUUAGAAGAUCUAUUUUAAUAUUAUAUUUAUUGUAAUAUAAAUAUUUAAAAUAUUAAGAUUGAAAUGAAAUGUUAUUCGUUUCUAAAUAUAUCUGGUUUUCUAGGAAACAAGUUUAAUUUGAUUUUUAAUAAAAAAAAAUUUAUUUUUAUAUUUUUUUAUUAAGAUAUUCUAUUUUAAGGGAUUAGCUUUAAAAUAAAUUUUUAAAAGAUUUUUGAAUUUUUAGAUAUUUAAUAUUAGAAAUGUAUAUUUUUUGUAGUUUUUUAUAAUUAAUCUAAAAUAAUAAAUUAUUUCUAUAAUCUUUAAUUUUUUUACUAGAAUUUUACAUUAAAUUUUUUUUGUAAGUGAUAAUUAUUAAAUUAGUAUAAUUUUAUCUUAUUUUGAAAAAAUUUUUAGGUUUUAUAAAGGAACUCGGCAACAAUAUUUUUUACCUGUUUAUUAAAAACAUGGCUUUUUGAUAAUAAUUUAAAGUCUAACCUGCCCACUGAAAUUUAAAUGGCCGCGGUAUUUUGACCGUGCAAAGGUAGCAUAAUAAUUAGUUCUUUAAUUAAGAGCUGGAAUGAAUGGUUGAAUAAAAAAAUAACUGUCUCUUUAAAAUUUUUAUAGAAUUUUAUUUUUAAGUAAGAAAGCUUAAAUUUUAUUGAAAGACGAGAAGACCCUAUAGAGUUUUAUAAAAAUUAUAAUUUUUUGUAUUAGUAUUUUUAAGUUAAAUUUGUAUUUUUAUUUGGUUGGGGUGAUCGAAAAAUUUAAUAAACUUUUUCUAUUUUUAACAUAAAUUAAUGAAUCUUUGAUCCGAUAUUUUUGAUUAUAAGAUUAAAUUACCUUAGGGAUAACAGCGUAAUUUUUUUUGAGAGUUCAAAUCGAAAAGAGAGUUUGCGACCUCGAUGUUGGAUUAAAAUUAAUUUUGGUGUAGAAGCUAAAAUUUUUAGGUCUGUUCGACCUUUAAAAUUUUACAUGAUCUGAGUUUAAACCGGUGUGAGCCAGGUUGGUUUCUAUCUUUAAUUUAUAUAAUACUUUAGUACGAGAGGACCAAGUAUUAAAUAAUUUAUUUUAUAAAGAUAAAGAAU
Molecule: ribosomal RNA, 1269 nt
Filed under: Zoodes fulguratus
Lineage: Eukaryota; Metazoa; Arthropoda; Insecta; Coleoptera; Cerambycidae
Description: 16S ribosomal RNA
Rfam family: Archaeal large subunit ribosomal RNA (bases 581-1269)
Source: RNAcentral